Molecule: unclassified non-coding RNA, 331 nt
Filed under: soil metagenome
Description: partial contains 5.8S ribosomal RNA, internal transcribed spacer 2, and large subunit ribosomal RNA
Rfam family: 5.8S ribosomal RNA (bases 1-120)
Source: RNAcentral
GAUGAAGAACGUAGUGAAAUGCGAUAAGUAAUGUGAAUUGCAGAAUUCAGUGAAUCAUCGAAUCUUUGAACGCACAUUGCGCCCCCUGGUAUUCCGGGGGGCAUGCCUGUUCGAGCGUCAUUUCACCACCCAAGCCUCGCUUGGUAUUGGGCAACGCGGUCCGCCGCGUGCCUCAAAUCGACCGGCUGGGUCUUCUGUCCCCUAAGCGUUGUGGAAACUAUUCGCUAAAGGGUGUUCGGGAGGCUACGCCGUAAAACAACCCCAUUUCUAAGGUUGACCUCGGAUCAGGUAGGGAUACCCGCUGAACUUAAGCAUAUCAAUAAGCGGAGGA